Molecule: unclassified non-coding RNA, 234 nt
Organism: Pongo abelii (Sumatran orangutan)
Lineage: Eukaryota; Metazoa; Chordata; Mammalia; Primates; Hominidae
Rfam family: Metazoan signal recognition particle RNA
About the family: The signal recognition particle (SRP) is a universally conserved ribonucleoprotein. It is involved in the co-translational targeting of proteins to membranes.
Source: Ensembl
GCCGGGCGUGGUGGCGGGCGCCUGUAGUCCCAGCUACUCGGGAGGCUGAGGCAGGAGAAUGGCGUGAACCCGGGAGGCGGAGCUUGCAGUGAGCCGAGAUCGCGCCACCGCUCUCCAGCCUGGGCGAUACAGCGGGACGGCUGGGCGAUACAGCCGGACGGCUGGAGUGCGGUGGCGCGAUCUCGGCUCACUGCAAGCUCCGCCUCCCGGGUUCACGCCAUUCUCCUGUCUCAG